This 527-nucleotide unclassified non-coding RNA is filed under the name uncultured Actinomycetes bacterium. RNAcentral's name for it is "uncultured actinobacterium partial contains 16S ribosomal RNA, 16S-23S ribosomal RNA intergenic spacer, and 23S ribosomal RNA". The stretch from base 396 to 527 matches the Rfam family "Bacterial large subunit ribosomal RNA", at positions 1 to 131 of the family's 2925-position model. Lineage: Bacteria; Bacillati; Actinomycetota; Actinomycetes. The record is from RNAcentral.
UCUAAGGAGCACCACGAAAAAGGUUGGAACACCAGGUUUCACCUAGCCGUGAGGAACUCGUUGCCUGUAGUGGGUAGGGGUUUGGUGCACGACAAACGUUGAGCUGCAACGGGAUCGACUUCGGUCGGGUUGCGGUGAUGGAAUCAUCAGACACACUAUUGGGCUUUGAGACAACAGGCCCGUUGUUCCCUGGCCACUGUGUGUGGUGGGAGGCGUGUUGUUGCCCUGCUUUGGUGGUGGGGUGUGGUGUUUGAUUUGUGGAUAGUGGUUGCGAGCAUCUGAGCGCGCGGGGUCGUUGUGGCCUUGUGUGUUCAGCUGUAAUGCAAAUUUUUUCUGAGCUCGGGCGUGCCCUUUGUGGGGUGUGUUCGGGUGAUGACUCAUUUUUUGGUUUUGUGUUGUAAGUGUUUAAGGGCGCAUGGUGGAUGCCUUGGCACUGGGAGCCGAUGAAGGACGUGGGAGGCUGCGAUAUGCCUCGGGGAGCUGUCAACCGAGCGUGGAUCCGAGGAUGUCCGAAUGGGGAAACCCGG